This is a long non-coding RNA of Mytilus californianus (California mussel), 758 nucleotides long. RefSeq lists it as uncharacterized. The transcript is spliced from 3 exons. The record is from RefSeq and is a predicted model, not a curated record. NCBI's taxonomy places the organism in Eukaryota, Metazoa, Mollusca, Bivalvia, Mytilida, Mytilidae.
UAUAUAUUUAUGGCAUGUUUUGCACACCCAUUCACUUUCUGAAACACUUUUAGUUCCUGUAAGAGUUUGAUCCAAUAUUUCUUGUGGAAUUCCUUUCUGCAUAUAAUGUUCUUUAGAACAGGCAUAAACACUAUGCUGGUAAAAUGUUUGCAUACAACAUGAGCAAAUGAAAUCAUCACUUCUUUUGAGCAAGUCUCUAAAUAUUUAAAUUUGGAUUUCAAUGUCACUUUUCUUUUUUAUCCUUGAAUGUCUGUUGAGAUGUGUUUCUUUUUUGUUCCUGUUAUAGGUAUGUCGCCAUUUUUGUCUACUUGUUUUUUCCUUAUCUCUAACUUCAGGUAUAACUCGUCUAUUUUGACGAGUUUUUCUUCUUUUAGCAUUACCCUGAUCUCUAACUUCAGGUAAACUGCGUCGUUUUUGACGUGUUAUAUUACUCCUAGCACUUUCUUGUUCUUUAACUUCAGGUAUACUGCGUCGUUUUUGACGUGUUAUAUUACUCCUAGCACUUUCUUGUUCUUUAACUUCAGGUAUACUGCGUCGUUUUUGACGUGUUAUAUUACUCCUAGCACUUUCUUGUUCUUUAACUUCAGGUAUACUGCGUCGUUUUUGACGUGUUAUAUUACUCCUAGCACUUUCUUGUUCUUUAACUUCAGGUAUACUGCGUCGUUUUUGACGUGUUAUAUUACUCCUAGCACUUUCUUGUUCUCUAACUUCAGGUAUACUGCGUCUAUCUUUACGAGUUUUUUGUCUUUUAGCAUUAC